UACGGAGGGGGCUAGCGUUGUUCGGAAUUACUGGGCGUAAAGCGCACGUAGGCGGCUUUGUAAGUUAGAGGUGAAAGCCCAGGGCUUAACCCUGGAAUUGCCUUUAAGACUGCAUCGCUAGAAUCGUGGAGAGGUGAGUGGAAUUCCGAGUGUAGAGGUGAAAUUCGUAGAUAUUCGGAAGAACACCAGUGGCGAAGGCGACUCGCUGGCCGUCGAUUGACGCUCAUGUGCGAAAGCGUGGGGAGCAAACAGG
Molecule: ribosomal RNA, 253 nt
Filed under: uncultured bacterium
Lineage: Bacteria
Description: partial 16S ribosomal RNA
Rfam family: Bacterial small subunit ribosomal RNA
Source: RNAcentral